GGAAUCUUCCACAAUGGACGCAAGUCUGAUGGAGCAACGCCGCGUGAGUGAAGAAGGGUUUCGGCUCGUAAAGCUCUGUUGUUAAAGAAGAACAUAUCUGAGAGUAACUGUUCAGGUAUUGACGGUAUUUAACCAGAAAGCCACGGCUAACUACGUGCCCG
This 161-nucleotide ribosomal RNA is filed under the name uncultured bacterium. RNAcentral's name for it is "partial 16S rRNA". It matches the Rfam family "Bacterial small subunit ribosomal RNA", at positions 358 to 511 of the family's 1533-position model. The record is from RNAcentral.